Molecule: long non-coding RNA, 1194 nt
Organism: Carassius auratus (goldfish)
Lineage: Eukaryota; Metazoa; Chordata; Actinopteri; Cypriniformes; Cyprinidae
Exons: 3
Source: RefSeq, a predicted model, not a curated record
AACUCAUUCGGGUCUCAUAUGUAAAUUACGUUGUGACGCAAUCUUCUCUAACGGUCGGUUUAAUCGAUUUCAUUGUUGAAGCUGCAGAGUGACAUUUGAGAUUGAAAAAAUUUCAUACCAGAGUUAAUUCAAACUCCGUUUCCUUCAUCAACCACAAGAGGGCGACACCCAUCUGAAAGUCUGAAAUAAGCGUCAUCAGUGACCUUUGAAAAUCAUGAAAGGCAUUCCUCGAAUCACGUCUCGCGAAGGAUUAUCUUUCAGGAAGAUGAAGUACCAGAUGCACGCUCAUCCACAAAUCUCCUGUCAUCACAGAGAGCAUUCUGGGACACAGCCAGUUCCACAAUCUUAUUUGUAGAACAAACACACACGCUGUUACAGCAGUAAGUUAUGGCCACAACGGACAGUGUCUCAACGGGGACAGAAACCCGAAUAACUAUUAGCGAAACAAGCUCUGAUGUCAACACCACCGCUGAUGGGAGCAAUCUAGUUUUUUAUUGCAUCAGCCCAAUAUACAGACAUGCUUCACAUGUUGGUGAGGGGCUUGAAAGGGGAAUGUAUGGGUGACCCUGGAAACAACAGGAAUGUCUUUUGAACAACAACUAUAUUCGAAUGCGCUUUCAUGCAAGUGGUAGCUAUAGUUUGUGGACAAUAUUGUCCCCAGAAGUUGAGUAAAUAAAUAAAUAUGGCAAAAAUCUCCCAUUGAAGACAUCUUCAAAGAUUAAAAAUAACAAUAACGAGAUAUUCUGCCAAAGUCCUACAUCCCUGCCAAUAUUUUCAACUGGUCCAAACACCGAAAAUCUAUAUUAAAAAAAUGUUUGAAAACAAAUCAUUUUAAUUGAAUUAUUUUAUAUUUUGUGGAUGGUUACAUCACAUUCCAUUCUGUUACCCUCAUAUCACAGUGCAUAUAAUACAAAUAUCUGGCAACUCAAAAAUUGAGUUUCCGCCAAAAUCAGUACUGAAAAUGCAAAAUGCAAUAUCCGCUAUUAUUCGUUCAUGUUUUCUCCCUAUCUUUCCAAACCGCUACAAAUGCGACAAAUCGCUUCUUUGCAAAAUGCAAUACAUCCACUUAACCAAUCACAGCGCAUCAUUCCACACAUUGCAAACAGUAAUGGCAGCACUCUGGCAUCCUAGCUAGAUUUUGCACUUUCACACUGCCAGUGAUUACCCGGGAUAUGUGCGUGCUUUCACACACAA